UAAGGAAUAUUGCUCAAUGGGGGAAACCCUGAAGCAGCAACGCCGCGUGAGGGAUGAAGGGCUUUUGCUUGUAAACCUCUGUAGUGAGGGAAAAAAUUUCCACUCUGUGGAAUAUGAUGGUACCUCAAAAGUAAGCCCCGGCUAACUACGUGCCAGCAGCCGCGGUAAUACGUAGGGGGCAAACGUUGUCCGGAUUUACUGGGUGUAAAGGGUGCUCAGGCGGUUUUGUAAGUCAGAAGUGAAAUCCUAGGGCUUAACUCUGGAACUGCUUUUGAUACUGCAAGGCUUGAAUGUGGAAGAGGAGGAUGGAAUUUCUGGUGUAGCAGUGAAAUGCGUAGAUAUCAGAAAGAACACCAGUGGCGAAGGCGGUCCUCUGGUCCACUAUUGACGCUAAAGCACGAAAGCGUGGGGAGCAAACAGG
RNAcentral lists this ribosomal RNA (421 nucleotides) under uncultured bacterium. RNAcentral's name for it is "bacterial SSU rRNA". It matches the Rfam family "Bacterial small subunit ribosomal RNA", at positions 355 to 776 of the family's 1533-position model. The record is from RNAcentral.